RNAcentral lists this ribosomal RNA (318 nucleotides) under Triticum aestivum (bread wheat). RNAcentral describes it as "partial small subunit ribosomal RNA". The record is from RNAcentral. Lineage: Eukaryota; Viridiplantae; Streptophyta; Magnoliopsida; Poales; Poaceae.
AUGAAGCCAAAGCAGUGGCUUUCAAAAAUUGUUAUUGAGACUGGAAUCAUACACAUCAUGGAUAACUUACCAGAAGGGUUGAAGAAAGUUGUCAUGCCACUGAGGUUUUCUAUCAAUUUACAGCAGGGGAUCUACAAUACGAAUGAGAUAAACAAGAAGUUUGAAUACAAGAACCGCCUUGACAAGAAAGAUUUGGUCAUGCUGCUAGUGCUUGAGUGCGAUAAUGUAAACGGCCACGAAGGAGGCAGGCAUUAUUGGGUCUUCUGCUUCUCCAAAAGGACUGACAUUUCGAAGUCCUUGAUUCAAACAGGAAGCUAG